UACGGAGGGUGCGAGCGUUGUCCGGAAUCACUGGGCGUAAAGGGCGCGUAGGCGGCCUGAUAAGUAGGGGGUGAAAUCCUGCGGCUUAACCGCAGGGCUGCCUUCUAAACUGUCGGGCUCGAGCACGGUAGAGGCAGAUGGAAUUCCCGGUGUAGCGGUGGAAUGCGUAGAGAUCGGGAAGAACAUCAGUGGCGAAGGCGGUCUGCUGGGCCGAUACUGACGCUGAGGAGCGAAAGCAUGGGUAGCGAACAGG
Molecule: ribosomal RNA, 253 nt
Filed under: uncultured bacterium
Lineage: Bacteria
Description: partial 16S ribosomal RNA
Rfam family: Bacterial small subunit ribosomal RNA
Source: RNAcentral